AGAAUGAACGCUGGCGGCGUGGUUAAGACAUGCAAGUCGAACGGUUUUUAUUGAAACGCAAGUGGAUAUAAAAGCAGUGGCGAACGGGUGCGUAACACGUGAACAAUCUACCUUCAAAUGGGGAAUAGCUCGCCGAAAGGCGAAUUAAUACCGCAUGUGGUUACUUCUCGCAUGAGAGGCAUACCAAAGUCAGGGACCGCAAGGCCUGACGUUAGAAGAGGAGUUCGCGGCCUAUCAGCUAGUUGGCGAGGUAACGGCUCACCAAGGCUAAGACGGGUAGCUGGUCUGAGAGGACGACCAGCCACACUGGAACUGAGACACGGUCCAGACACCUACGGUGGCAGCAGUCGAGAAUUUUUCACAAUGGGGGAAACCCUGAUGGAGCGACGCCGCGUGGGGGAUGAAUGGCUUCGGCCCGUAAACCCCUGUCAUUUGUGAACAAACCUUUUCACUGAACAAGUGGAAAGUUGAUAGUAACGGAAGAGGAAGGGACGGCUAACUCUGUGCCAGCAGCCGCGGUAAUACAGAGGUCCCAAGCGUUGUUCGGAUUCACUGGGCGUAAAGGGUGCGUAGGUGGCCGGGUAAGUCAGAUGUGAAAUCUCGGAGCUCAACUCCGGAACGGCAUUGGAUACUAUCCGGCUGGAGGGUCGGAAGGGGGACUGGAAUUCUCGGUGUAGCAGUGAAAUGCGUAGAUAUCGAGAGGAACACCAGCGGCGAAGGCGAGUCCCUGGACGACUCCUGACACUGAGGCACGAAAGCUAGGGGAGCAAACAGGAUUAGAUACCCUGGUAGUCCUAGCCAUAAACGGUGCAUAUUUGCUGUAAAAGGAAUCGACCCCUUUUGUGGCGAAGCUAACGCGUUAAAUAUGCCGCCUGGGAAGUACGGUCGCAAGAUUAAA
This 898-nucleotide ribosomal RNA is filed under the name uncultured bacterium. Its description in RNAcentral is "bacterial SSU rRNA". It matches the Rfam family "Bacterial small subunit ribosomal RNA", at positions 26 to 898 of the family's 1533-position model. The record is from RNAcentral.